CAUAUCAAUAAGCGGAGGAAAAGAAACCAACAGGGAUUGCCCCAGUAACGGCGAGUGAAGCGGCAACAGCUCAAAUUUGAAAUCUGGCCCCAGGCCCGAGUUGUAAUUUGCAGAGGAUGCUUUUGGCGCGGUGCCUUCCGAGUUCCCUGGAACGGGACGCCAUAGAGGGUGAGAGCCCCGUACGGUUGGACACCAAGCCUUUGUAAAGCUCCUUCGACGAGUCGAGUAGUUUGGGAAUGCUGCUCUAAAUGGGAGGUACAUUUCUUCUAAAGCUAAAUAUUGGCCAGAGACCGAUAGCGCACAAGUAGAGUGAUCGAAAGAUGAAAAGCACUUUGAAAAGAGGGUUAAACAGCACGUGAAAUUGUUAAAAGGGAAGCGCUUGUGACCAGACUUGCGUCCGGUGAAUCACCCAGCUCUCGCGGCUGGGGCACUUCGCCGGCACAGGCCAGCAUCAGCUUGCCGUCGGGGACAAAAGCUUCAGGAACGUGGCUCCUCUCGGGGAGUGUUAUAGCCUGUUGCACAAUACCCUUCGGCGGGCUGAGGUACGCGCUCCGCAAGGAUGCUGGCGUAAUGGUCAUCAGCGACCCGUCUUGAAACACGGACCAAGGAGUCAACCUUAUGUGCGAGUGUUUGGGUGUUAAACCCCUACGCGUAAUGAAAGUGAACGCAGGUGAGAGCUUCGGCGCAUCAUCGACCGAUCCUGAUGUUCUCGGAUGGAUUUGAGUAAGAGCAUAUAGGGUUGGACCCGAAAGAAGGUGAACUAUGCGUGUGUAGGGUGAAGCCAGAGGAAACUCUGGUGGAGGCUCGCAGCGGUUCUGACGUGCAAAUCGAUCGUCAAACAUGCGCAUGGGGGCGAAAGACUAAUCGAACCUUCUAGUAGCUGGUUCCGC
This 890-nucleotide ribosomal RNA is filed under the name Colletotrichum salicis. RNAcentral describes it as "LSU rRNA". It matches the Rfam family "Eukaryotic large subunit ribosomal RNA", at positions 39 to 960 of the family's 3401-position model. The record is from RNAcentral. Lineage: Eukaryota; Fungi; Ascomycota; Sordariomycetes; Glomerellales; Glomerellaceae.